RNAcentral lists this small RNA (64 nucleotides) under Yersinia ruckeri. Its description in RNAcentral is "RtT sRNA". It matches the Rfam family "RtT RNA", at positions 33 to 97 of the family's 130-position model. Rfam says of the family: This family represents a bacterial cis-regulatory element known as RtT RNA. The exact function of RtT is unknown although it is thought that it may be involved in changing the cellular response in relation to amino acid starvation. The record is from RNAcentral. Lineage: Bacteria; Pseudomonadati; Pseudomonadota; Gammaproteobacteria; Enterobacterales; Yersiniaceae.
CGUUCAGGUUCGAGCCGAGCGAAGCGAGACAGCAACGCGAACGCGUUGACCCGAAGGGCGAGGC